AAUCCCUUUGACGUACACUAACACAUAAAAGACCACUAUUAAGCAAACGUUGACGGAAAGAUUUUUAAUGAUGCAUUUGACUGACUGUGUCACAGUACAUUCCUACUACUGCAAAUCAUUUUGUUUGACUGUUUCAUGCACAGAAUGUUCAUACUUCCACUGCAAAGAGUUGAUUGGUGUAUGGAACAUGUGAGAAAUCCCUUUGACGUACACUAACACAUAAAAGACCACUAUUAAGCAAACGUUGACGGAAAGAUUUUUAAUGAUGCAUUUGACUGACUGUGUCACAGUACAUUCCUACUACUGCAAAUCAUUUUGUUUGACUGUUUCAUGCACAGAAUGUUCAUACUUCCACUGCAAAGAGUUGAUUGGUGUAUGGAACAUGUGAGAAAUCCCUUUGACGUACACUAACACAUAAAAGACCACUAUUAAGCAAACGUUGACGGAGAGAUUUUUAUGAUGCAUUUGGUCCCCACAAUGCAGAGAAAACUCACGCCAUCGGAGGUCCCCACAACGCCACCUGCGUAUGUAUAGAUGAAC
Molecule: long non-coding RNA, 540 nt
Organism: Dendronephthya gigantea
Lineage: Eukaryota; Metazoa; Cnidaria; Anthozoa; Malacalcyonacea; Nephtheidae
Exons: 8
Source: RefSeq, a predicted model, not a curated record